This 486-nucleotide ribosomal RNA is filed under the name uncultured bacterium. RNAcentral describes it as "bacterial SSU rRNA". It matches the Rfam family "Bacterial small subunit ribosomal RNA", at positions 338 to 823 of the family's 1533-position model. The record is from RNAcentral.
CCUACGGGAGGCAGCAGUAAGGAAUAUUGGUCAAUGGAGGCAACUCUGAACCAGCCAUGCCGCGUGCAGGAUGACGGCCCUAUGGGUUGUAAACUGCCUUUAUACAAGAGAAAACCCUGGUACGUGUACCAGGUUGAUAGUAUUGUAAGAAUAAGCAUCGGCUAACUUCGUGCCAGCAGCCGCGGUAAGACGAAGGAUGCAAGCGUUAUCCGGAUUCAUUGGGUUUAAAGGGUGCGUAGGCGGACUGAUAAGUCAGUGGUGAAAUCUCUUUGCUUAACAAGAAACUGCCAUUGAUACUGUCGGUCUAGAGUAUAGAUGACGUUGCGGAAUAUGACAUGUAGUGGUGAAAUACUUAGAUAUGUCAUAGAACACCGAUUGCGAAGGCAGCUAACGAAACUAUAACUGACGCUGAGGCACGAAAGUNCGGGGAUCAAACAGGAUUAGAUACCCUGGUAGUCCGCACCGUAAACGANNAUACUCUGUUGU